GCCUUCUGUGGCUCAGUGGGUAGAGCAUCUGUCUUGUAAACAGAAAGGUCCCCGGUUCAAUCCCGGGCGGAGGCA
This 75-nucleotide transfer RNA is filed under the name Pythium insidiosum. Its description in RNAcentral is "tRNA-Thr". It matches the Rfam family "tRNA". Rfam says of the family: Transfer RNA (tRNA) molecules are approximately 80 nucleotides in length. Their secondary structure includes four short double-helical elements and three loops (D, anti-codon, and T loops). Further hydrogen bonds mediate the characteristic L-shaped molecular structure. tRNAs have two regions of fundamental functional importance: the anti-codon, which is responsible for specific mRNA codon recognition, and the 3' end, to which the tRNAs corresponding amino acid is attached (by aminoacyl-tRNA synthetases). tRNAs cope with the degeneracy of the genetic code in two manners: having more than one tRNA (with a specific anti-codon) for a particular amino acid; and 'wobble' base-pairing, i.e. permitting non-standard base-pairing at the 3rd anti-codon position. Lineage: Eukaryota; Oomycota; Peronosporomycetes; Pythiales; Pythiaceae. The record is from RNAcentral.